GAUGAACGCUGGCGGCGUGCUUAACACAUGCAAGUCGAACGGAAAGGCCCAAGCUUGCUUGGGUACUCGAGUGGCGAACGGGUGAGUAACACGUGGGUGAUCUGCCCUGCACUUCGGGAUAAGCCUGGGAAACUGGGUCUAAUACCGGAUAGGACGAUGGUUUGGAUGCCAUUGUGGAAAGUUUUUUCGGUGUGGGAUGAGCUCGCGGCCUAUCAGCUUGUUGGUGGGGUAAUGGCCUACCAAGGCGUCGACGGGUAGCCGGCCUGAGAGGGUAUACGGCCACAUUGGGACUGAGAUACGGCCCAGACUCCUACGGGAGGCAGCAGUGGGGAAUAUUGCACAAUGGGCGCAAGCCUGAUGCAGCGACGCCGCGUGGGGGAUGACGGCCUUCGGGUUGUAAACUCCUUUCGCUAGGGACGAAGCGUUUUUGUGACGGUACCUGGAGAAGAAGCACCGGCUAACUACGUGCCAGCAGCCGCGGUAAUACGUAGGGUGCGAGCGUUGUCCGGAAUUACUGGGCGUAAAGAGCUCGUAGGUGGUUUGUCGCGUCGUUUGUGUAAGCCCGCAGCUUAACUGCGGGACUGCAGGCGAUACGGGCAUAACUUGAGUGCUGUAGGGGAGACUGGAAUUCCUGGUGUAGCGGUGGAAUGCGCAGAUAUCAGGAGGAACACCGAUGGCGAAGGCAGGUCUCUGGGCAGUAACUGACGCUGAGGAGCGAAAGCAUGGGUAGCGAACAGGAUUAGAUACCCUGGUAGUCCAUGCCGUAAACGGUGGGCGCUAGGUGUGAGUCCCUUCCACGGGGUUCGUGCCGUAGCUAACGCAUUAAGCGCCCCGCCUGGGGACUGUACGGCCGCAAGGCUAAAACUCAAAGGAAUUGACGGGGGCCCGCACAAGCGGCUGAGCAUGUGGAUUAAUUCGAUGGAACGCGAACAACCUUACCUGGGCUUGACAUACACCAGAUGUAUCAAGAUAUACAUUUAUUCCUUUGGUAGCCAGUAAUCAAGCGGUCCACUGGUGUAGUCAAUGUUGUUGUCUUGGAAGAUGGGGUAAAUUGGGCAAAAAGGCGAACCACCUAUUAUUAUUUGACAGCACGUAAAGGUGGGAACUCAUGCAAUACUGCCGCUGACAAUCCGGAGGAAGGAGGGGAGGACGUCAAAUCAUCAUGCCCCUUAUGACUUGGGCUACACACGAACUACAAUGGCAUUUAGUAGAGGAAACGGAAACCGAGAGAUGGUCCAAACUCCAAAAACAAGCUCUCGUUGUGGUUGGUGUGUGGCACCUCACUUCCGUAAAAUGGGGUUGGUAGUUAU
This 1310-nucleotide ribosomal RNA is filed under the name uncultured bacterium. RNAcentral's name for it is "partial 16S ribosomal RNA". It matches the Rfam family "Bacterial small subunit ribosomal RNA", at positions 28 to 1342 of the family's 1533-position model. The record is from RNAcentral.